UUGCCAGCCGCCGCGGUAAUACGUAGGGUGCAAGCGUUAAUCGGAAUUACUGGGCGUAAAGCGUGCGCAGGCGGUUUUGUAAGACAGGCGUGAAAUCCCCGGGCUCAACCUGGGAAUGGCGCUUGUGACUGCAAAGCUGGAGUGCGGCAGAGGGGGAUGGAAUUCCGCGUGUAGCAGUGAAAUGCGUAGAUAUGCGGAGGAACACCGAUGGCGAAGGCAAUCCCCUGGGCCUGCACUGACGCUCAUGCACGAAAGCGUGGGGAGCAAACAGGAUUAGAAACCCGUGUAGUCC
RNAcentral lists this ribosomal RNA (292 nucleotides) under uncultured bacterium. RNAcentral's name for it is "partial 16S ribosomal RNA". It matches the Rfam family "Bacterial small subunit ribosomal RNA", at positions 505 to 796 of the family's 1533-position model. The record is from RNAcentral.